CUGUAAAUGAAAGUCCUGCAGUGAAGAGAAUUCAAAUAGCUAGCUGCAUGUAAAAGUUUCACUGGCCUAGGGGCCAUUAGUUAGAUGCUGCUGAGUUUCUGCGUGCAUGGUCCUGCCAGUUAUUAGUACUGUAUGCUUGGUGGCUGUUUGGAGGGGGAAGAGAAAAUAUCUGUAUGGUACGGUGCCAUGUUAAGUAUAACUGGAGGCACCUUUCCACUGAAAGCACUGAUAAAGCAACAGACUUCAUAAUCUGAAGGAAAGGGCAAUUUAUCACUACCAGGAGGUGGCAGCAGAGAGCCUGUUUCCCGGAGGCACCUUUGGAGUCUGCUGAAAUUUGUUGAACUUGUCUCAGAAAAUAUCGGCUGAUUUCACCAGGGAAGGAAGGGCUGUUCACACUAUUGGCUCAGUGAGAUCGCAAAGUUCUCUCUAGAGCAAAUCUUUUGUCAUCAAAGCACCUUCGAACAUCCUAAUUGUGACUUCACAGAGAGGUUUGUGCAAUUUUUUUGAACUCUAUGAAGAUCCUGAGUCUGACGUAGAUAAUUUAGUGUAUAGCAACACCAGAAAUUGGAGGAACAACACCUCAUAUUCCGCCUGAGUAGCCUACGUCCGUCAGGCAUGAACAUUGAAAUCUCCCAAUUUUGGUAGCCCUUGCUGUCUC
Long non-coding RNA from Leucoraja erinaceus (little skate), 658 nucleotides. RefSeq lists it as uncharacterized. Lineage: Eukaryota; Metazoa; Chordata; Chondrichthyes; Rajiformes; Rajidae. The transcript is spliced from 3 exons. The record is from RefSeq and is a predicted model, not a curated record.